UUACCUGUACCUGUGUUUCAGCCUUGUGAUCUGCAUGAAGUUUGGUGUUUUACACAUGGGUGAGUCAAUGCAUAUUUGAUAAAUAAAUUCUAAUAAAAGGAGAAACCGAUUCCUGAG
Molecule: long non-coding RNA, 117 nt
Filed under: Callithrix jacchus (white-tufted-ear marmoset)
Lineage: Eukaryota; Metazoa; Chordata; Mammalia; Primates; Cebidae
Description: lncRNA (ENSCJAG00000079739.1)
Source: RNAcentral